Transfer RNA from Pisolithus microcarpus 441, 92 nucleotides. It matches the Rfam family "tRNA". From Rfam's summary of the family: Transfer RNA (tRNA) molecules are approximately 80 nucleotides in length. Their secondary structure includes four short double-helical elements and three loops (D, anti-codon, and T loops). The record is from Rfam. Lineage: Eukaryota; Fungi; Basidiomycota; Agaricomycetes; Boletales; Pisolithaceae.
GCCCGCCUAGCUCAAUCGGAUAGAGCGUCAGACUUUUACGGUCGUACGUGGCGGUGAUCUGAAGGCUGCGAGUUCGACCCUCGCGGUGGGCU